This 285-nucleotide ribosomal RNA is filed under the name Weissella confusa. RNAcentral describes it as "partial 23S ribosomal RNA". It matches the Rfam family "Archaeal large subunit ribosomal RNA", at positions 1013 to 1295 of the family's 2987-position model. Lineage: Bacteria; Bacillati; Bacillota; Bacilli; Lactobacillales; Lactobacillaceae. The record is from RNAcentral.
AUUCCUCGCUCCUGUGUAAAACUCCAAACUCCCUAUCUUCGUAGACGUCGGGCAGUCCGGAUUGCGGGGUAAGCUUGUAAUCCGUAAGGGAGACAACCCAGCCCAUGGUUAAUGCCCCCCAAUGUAGGCUAAGUGUCAACACUGAAUGAAGUCCUAGGUCAAAGACAACUGGAAGGUGAGCUCAGAAGCAGCUAUCCUUUAAAAAGUGCGUAACAGCUUACCAGUCAAGAUUUAGGGCGCAGAAAAUGGACGGGGCUCAAGCCUACUGCAGAUACCAUGGCGCAC